AAGGGCACCACAAGAACGCGUGGAGCAUGUGGCUUAAUUUGACUCAACGCGGGAAAUCUUACCGGGUCCGGACACACUGAGGAUUGACAGACAAAUACACACACUUUUACGGUGUGUGCAUGAAAUAUGCUAGUUCUUUCAUGAUUAUGUGAUAGGUGGUGCAUGGCCGUUCUUAGUUCGUGGAGUGAUCUGUCUGCUUAAUUGCGUUUCACUAAAGGCACAUACACAUAAUAUUGUUGUGUUGUGUAUAAUUUAUAAUUAUAUCGCAUACACACAUAUUAUAUUGUGCUUUGAAAGCAACGAACGUGACCGCAACCUCUUGUUGCCUGUAUAUAUGUGUAUUUUAUACACACCACAGGCUAUUAUAAACUAGAGGGACCGCUGUUACUUUCUUUUAAACCAGAGGAAGGUUGCGGCAAUAACAGGUCUGUGAUGCCCUUAGAUGUUCCGGGCUGCACACGUGCUACAAUGAUCAUUGCAGUGCGCAUCUCAUUUUGUUAUACACUGCUUGUGCGUAUGUGCACCAUAUAUUUAUAUGUGUGUGUAUGUAUUGCACGCAGUAAAGCCUACUUCGAAAGUUGUGGGUAAUCAAUUUGAAGUAAUGAUUUCUCCAAAUAUAUACUGCACACUCAUAUACAGUGUCUUAUGUCCAUGAAAAUAUUUUAUUAUUUUUGUGUGUGCAUUCGAUGCUCGUAUGUGCAAUUGUCAAUUCAUGGUGGGGACAGACCAUUGUUAAUUGUUGGUCUCGGUCUUAACUAGGAAUGCCUUGUACGGGUCUUUGGUUCAACAAACCAUCCGGAAUACGUCCCUGCCCUUUGUACACACCGCCCGUCGCUCUUACCGAUGGACUUCUCUGUGAGUUUGAGGGACUGGAUUUUAUAUCUAUGGAAACUCAAACGAACAGUGUGGUCUAAAGGAAAGAGAAGUCGUAACAAGGCAUCG
RNAcentral lists this ribosomal RNA (942 nucleotides) under Haynesina depressa. RNAcentral describes it as "SSU rRNA". It matches the Rfam family "Eukaryotic small subunit ribosomal RNA", at positions 1160 to 1804 of the family's 1831-position model. The record is from RNAcentral. Lineage: Eukaryota; Foraminifera; Rotaliida; Nonionidae.